Molecule: long non-coding RNA, 493 nt
Organism: Salvia splendens (bonfire salvia)
Lineage: Eukaryota; Viridiplantae; Streptophyta; Magnoliopsida; Lamiales; Lamiaceae
Exons: 2
Source: RefSeq, a predicted model, not a curated record
AUACGUGUAUGAGAGAGGAACAGCUCCUCUUCUCUCUCCCAUUGGCCGCCGACGACUCAGCUCCGGUCAGCGCCAUUCACCGCGGCCACUGCCUCAGGCGGUGUUCUCCUCCUCCUCUUCUCCACCUCUCCCUUUUUCCCCCUCUCGAUCUGCUUGCACAGGCGGCGGUUCUCCGGCCUCCCCACGCCUCGCACUGCUGGAGCAGUUUCCCGAUGCCUCCUCACCGACUCCCGACAGAUUUGUGAAGGUGGUGAAAUCAGUGACAAAUCGGGGUGUGGGACUGCCACCGACAGCGUGCCGAAACUCAGUCGCCGGAAAUCCGGCAGAUUCGUAUUUUAGGAGAUGAGUCCCUAAUUUGGUUUGUUUAUUCUAUGAAUUUGGUAACUUUGAACAAUUGUCUUGGACUAAAAUCACUUGAUGGUGAAAACAUGUUUGCUAAACUUGUUGUGUAUUGUUAUUUUCAGCUGGGUUAAUUCUAUUUUCUAUUUAUAUA